Molecule: ribosomal RNA, 462 nt
Filed under: uncultured bacterium
Lineage: Bacteria
Description: bacterial SSU rRNA
Rfam family: Bacterial small subunit ribosomal RNA
Source: RNAcentral
AGCGAACGCUGGCGGCAUGCCUAACACAUGCAAGUCGAGCGCUCCCAGCAAUGGGGGAGCGGCGGACGGGUGAGUAACGCGUAGGAACGUAUCCUGAGGUGGGGGAUAACCCUGGGAAACUAGGGCUAAUACCGCAUGAUGGCGAGAGCCCAAAGAUUUAUCGCCUUGGGAGCGGCCUGCGUCUGAUUAGCUUGUUGGUGGGGUAACGGCCUACCAAGGCGAUGAUCAGUAGCUGGUCUGAGAGGAUGAUCAGCCACACUGGGACUGAGACACGGCCCAGACUUCUACGGGAGGCAGCAGUGGGGAAUAUUGGACAAUGGGCGAAAGCCUGAUCCAGCAAUGCCGCGUGGAUGAAGAAGGUCUUCGGAUUGUAAAGUCCUUUCGGCGGGGACGAUGAUGACGGUACCCGCAGAAGAAGCCCCGGCUAACUUCGUGCCAGCAGCCGCGGUAAGGCACGACUGU